GACGAACGCUGGCGGCGUGCCUAAUACAUGCAAGUCGAACGCUUCUUUCCUCCCGAGUGCUUGCACUCAAUUGGAAAGAGGAGUGGCGGACGGGUGAGUAACACGUGGGUAACCUACCCAUCAGAGGGGGAUAACACUUGGAAACAGGUGCUAAUACCGCAUAACAGUUUAUGCCGCAUGGCAUAAGAGUGAAAGGCGCUUUCGGGUGUCGUUGAUGGAUGGACCCGCGGUGCAUUUGCUAGUUGGUGAGGUAACGGCUCACCAAGGCCACGAUGCAUAGCCGACCUGAGAGGGUGAUCGGCCACACUGGGACUGAGACACGGCCCAGACUCCUACGGGAGGCAGCAGUAGGGAAUCUUCGGCAAUGGACGAAAGUCUGACCGAGCAACGCCGCGUGAGUGAAGAAGGUUUUCGGAUCGUAAAACUCUGUUGUUAGAGAAGAACAAGGACGUUAGUAACUGAACGUCCCCUGACGGUAUCUAACCAGAAAGCCACGGCUAACUACGUG
RNAcentral lists this ribosomal RNA (508 nucleotides) under uncultured bacterium. Its description in RNAcentral is "partial 16S ribosomal RNA". It matches the Rfam family "Bacterial small subunit ribosomal RNA", at positions 28 to 507 of the family's 1533-position model. The record is from RNAcentral.